GGCUCAGGAUGAACGCUAGCGGGAGGCUUAACACAUGCAAGUCGAGGGGCAGCACUGGGUAGCAAUACCCUGGUGGCGACCGGCGCACGGGUGAGUAACGCGUAUGUAACCUACCCUGUACAGGGGGAUAGCCCGGAGAAAUUCGGAUUAAUACCCCAUAAAGAUAUUUUGAGGCAUCUUGAGAUAUUUAAAGUUUCGGCGGUACGGGAUGGGCAUGCGUAACAUUAGCUAGUUGGUAGGGUAACGGCCUACCAAGGCUACGAUGUUUAGGGGUCCUGAGAGGGUGAUCCCCCACACUGGUACUGAGACACGGACCAGACUCCUACGGGAGGCAGCAGUGAGGAAUAUUGGUCAAUGGGCGCAAGCCUGAACCAGCCAUCCCGCGUGCAGGAAGACGGCGCUAUGCGUUGUAAACUGCUUUUCCAGGGGGCGAAUAGCUUCGACGUGUCGGGGUAUGACGGUACCCUGGGAAUAAGCAUCGGCUAACUCCGUGCCAGCAGCCGCGGUAAUACGGAGGAUGCGAGCGUUAUCCGGAUUUAUUGGGUUUAAAGGGUGCGUAGGCGGGAAGAUAAGUCAGUGGUGAAAACCUGCAGCUUAACUGUGGAACUGCCAUUGAUACUGUUAUUCUUGAGUGUGGUCAAGGUAGGCGGAAUGUGUAAUGUAGCGGUGAAAUGCUUAGAUAUUACACAGAACACCGAUUGCGAAGGCAGCUUACUGGACCAUUACUGACGCUGAUGCACGAAAGCGUGGGGAGCGAACAGGAUUAGAUACCCUGGUAGUCCACGCCGUAAACGAUGAUCACUCGCUGUUAGCGAUACACUGUUAGCGGCUAAGCAAAAGCAUUAAGUGAUCCACCUGGGGAGUACGGGCGCAAGGCUGAAACUC
This 885-nucleotide ribosomal RNA is filed under the name uncultured bacterium. RNAcentral describes it as "bacterial SSU rRNA". It matches the Rfam family "Bacterial small subunit ribosomal RNA", at positions 21 to 902 of the family's 1533-position model. The record is from RNAcentral.